Molecule: signal recognition particle RNA, 263 nt
Filed under: Blastobotrys adeninivorans
Lineage: Eukaryota; Fungi; Ascomycota; Dipodascomycetes; Dipodascales; Trichomonascaceae
Rfam family: Fungal signal recognition particle RNA
Source: RNAcentral
GUGCUGUUAUGGCUUUUGGCAGGAAGGCGUGUCAAUCGGCUUCGGCUGCGUGCCAGUCUAUUGGCUGGAGCAGGCCGCUGUCCGUUUCGAAUCCCAGGGUUGGUAAGUUGAGCCGAACGAGUAAUCUUCGAGCUUGCUUGCCUUAAGCAGAGGACUAUACUUGAGUGGAGCAAUCCAGCAGAGGAGUCCUUGCCUUGGGCAUGGCGAGCGGACGGCAGCGGCUUGUUAGGUGGUCGGAGUGAGUCUAAACGACUGACUGUUUU